GACGAACGCUGGCGGCGUGCUUAACACAUGCAAGUCGAGCGGUAAGGCCCUUUCGGGGGUACGACGAGCGGCGAACGGGUGAGUAACACGUGGGUGACCUGCCCUCAGCUCUGGGAUAAGCCUGGGAAACUGGGUCUAAUACUGGAUAUGACUCCACGGUGCAUGUCGGUGGGGUGGAAAGCCUUGUGCGGCUGAGGAUGGGCCCGCGGCCUAUCAGCUUGUUGGUGGGGUGAGGCCUACCAAGGCGACGACGGGUAGCCGGCCUGAGAGGGCGACCGGCCACACUGGGACUGAGACACGGCCCAGACUCCUACGGGAGGCAGCAGUGGGGAAUCUUGCGCAAUGGGCGAAAGCCUGACGCAGCGACGCCGCGUGAGGGAUGACGGCCU
This 389-nucleotide ribosomal RNA is filed under the name uncultured bacterium. RNAcentral describes it as "bacterial SSU rRNA". It matches the Rfam family "Bacterial small subunit ribosomal RNA", at positions 28 to 417 of the family's 1533-position model. The record is from RNAcentral.